GCCCGGGUGGCGGAAUGGCAGACGCAGGGGACUUAAAAUCCCUGUCCGAAAGGGCGUGUGGGUUCAAGUCCCACCCCGGCA
RNAcentral lists this transfer RNA (81 nucleotides) under Candidatus Neomicrothrix sp. RNAcentral describes it as "tRNA-Leu". It matches the Rfam family "tRNA". Rfam says of the family: Transfer RNA (tRNA) molecules are approximately 80 nucleotides in length. Their secondary structure includes four short double-helical elements and three loops (D, anti-codon, and T loops). Lineage: Bacteria; Bacillati; Actinomycetota; Acidimicrobiia; Acidimicrobiales; Microthrixaceae. The record is from RNAcentral.